RNAcentral lists this transfer RNA (73 nucleotides) under Cordylochernes scorpioides. RNAcentral's name for it is "tRNA-Thr". It matches the Rfam family "tRNA". From Rfam's summary of the family: Transfer RNA (tRNA) molecules are approximately 80 nucleotides in length. Their secondary structure includes four short double-helical elements and three loops (D, anti-codon, and T loops). The record is from RNAcentral. Lineage: Eukaryota; Metazoa; Arthropoda; Arachnida; Pseudoscorpiones; Chernetidae.
UCCAGGGUAGCCUAGUGGACAUGGCAUCUGCCAGGUAAGCGGAACACAGUGGGUUCGAUUCCCAUCCCUGGAC